This 584-nucleotide ribosomal RNA is filed under the name Bacillus cereus. RNAcentral describes it as "partial 23S ribosomal RNA". It matches the Rfam family "Bacterial large subunit ribosomal RNA", at positions 157 to 737 of the family's 2925-position model. Lineage: Bacteria; Bacillati; Bacillota; Bacilli; Caryophanales; Bacillaceae. The record is from RNAcentral.
CCUGAAUACAUAGGGUAAGGAAGACAGACCCAGGGAACUGAAACAUCUAAGUACCUGGAGGAAGAGAAAGCAAAUGCGAUUUCCUGAGUAGCGGCGAGCGAAACGGAACAUAGCCCAAACCAAGAGGCUUGCCUCUUGGGGUUGUAGGACAUUCUAUACGGAGUUACAAAGGAACGAGGUAGACGAAGCGACCUGGAAAGGUCCGUCGUAGAGGGUAACAACCCCGUAGUCGAAACUUCGUUCUCUCUUGAAUGUAUCCUGAGUACGGCGGAACACGUGAAAUUCCGUCGGAAUCUGGGAGGACCAUCUCCCAAGGCUAAAUACUCCCUAGUGAUCGAUAGUGAACCAGUACCGUGAGGGAAAGGUGAAAAGCACCCCGGAAGGGGAGUGAAAGAGAUCCUGAAACCGUGUGCCUACAAAUAGUCAGAGCCCGUUAAUGGGUGAUGGCGUGCCUUUUGUAGAAUGAACCGGCGAGUUACGAUCCCGUGCAAGGUUAAGUUGAAGAGACGGAGCCGCAGCGAAAGCGAGUCUGAAUAGGGCGUUUAGUACGUGGUCGUAGACCCGAAACCAGGUGAUCUACCCAU